CAUACAAGAGUGCACACGCUGAAAUGUCUCGCCUUCUUUACUAAUCAUUGAUAUUAUGUUGAUAGUCCUAAAUAUAAAGCUUUAUUACAACUGUCACAUAAACUUAACAUUAACCAAGUAAACUAAACAUUGACCAUUGAACCAUGAAAAUGAGGUCAAGGUCAGAUGAACCAUGCUAGGCAGGCAUGUACAGCUAACAAUUCUUCCAUACAACAAAUAUAGUUGACCUAUUGCUUAUAGUUUAAGAAAAACAGACCAAAACACAAAAACUUAACACUGAGCAAUGAACCUUGAAAAUGAGGUCAAGGUCAAAUAAAACCUGCGUGACUGCCAAAUAGAUCAUAAAAUAUUUCCAUACACCAAAUAUAGUUGAACUAUUGCAUACAGUAUAAGAAAAACAGACCAAAACACAAAAACUUAACUAUAACCACUGAACCAUGAAAAUGAGGUCAAGGUCAGAUGACACCUGCCAGUUGGACAUGUACACCUUACAGUCCUUCCAUACACCAAAUAUACUAGACCUAUUGCUUAUAGUAUCUGAGAUAUGGACUUGACCACCAAAACUUAACCUU
This is a long non-coding RNA of Mytilus californianus (California mussel), 572 nucleotides long. RefSeq lists it as uncharacterized. The record is from RefSeq and is a predicted model, not a curated record. The transcript is spliced from 2 exons. NCBI's taxonomy places the organism in Eukaryota, Metazoa, Mollusca, Bivalvia, Mytilida, Mytilidae.